Molecule: non-coding RNA, 145 nt
Organism: Gossypium hirsutum (cotton)
Lineage: Eukaryota; Viridiplantae; Streptophyta; Magnoliopsida; Malvales; Malvaceae
Source: Rfam
UGUUAAAAAAUCGUCCAUUUAUACUAUUAAAAAUUGGCGACGCUGAUAGAAUAAUUAAAUAGUGAUUCUUGAUGUGCCACGUGUAUAUUGUGCUAAUGUAUAUGGACCAAUUUUUAAGAGUAAAAAUAGACAAAAAAAUUUAAUA